Molecule: ribosomal RNA, 495 nt
Filed under: uncultured bacterium
Lineage: Bacteria
Description: bacterial SSU rRNA
Rfam family: Bacterial small subunit ribosomal RNA
Source: RNAcentral
CAGGUGGUGCAUGGUUGUCGUCAGCUCGUGUCGUGAGAUGUUGGGUUAAGUCCCGCAACGAGCGCAACCCUUAAGCUUAGUUGCCAGCAUUAAGUUGGGCACUCUAAGUUGACUGCCGGUGACAAACCGGAGGAAGGUGGGGAUGACGUCAAAUCAUCAUGCCCCUUAUGAUUUGGGCUACACACGUGCUACAAUGGACAAUACAAAGGGCAGCUAAACCGCGAGGUCAUGCAAAUCCCAUAAAGUUGUUCUCAGUUCGGAUUGUAGUCUGCAACUCGACUACAUGAAGCUGGAAUCGCUAGUAAUCGUAGAUCAGCAUGCUACGGUGAAUACGUUCCCGGGUCUUGUACACACCGCCCGUCACACCACGAGAGUCUGUAACACCCGAAGCCGGUGGAGUAACCAUUUAUGGAGCUAGCCGUCGAAGGUGGGACAAAUGAUUGGGGUGAAGUCGUAACAAGGUAGCCGUAUCGGAAGGUGCGGUUGGAUCACCUC